CCUGAUGCAGCAACGCCGCGUGAGGGAUGACGGCCUUCGGGUUGUAAACCUCUUUUAGUAGGGAAGAAGGGAGCUUGCUCUUGACGGUACCUGCAGAAAAAGCACCGGCUAACUACGUGCCAGCAGCCGCGGUAAUACGUAGGGUGCAAGCGUUGUCCGGAAUUAUUGGGCGUAAAGAGCUCGUAGGCGGUUUGUCGCGUCUGCUGUGAAAACCCGAGGCUCAACCUCGGGCCUGCAGUGGGUACGGGCAGACUAGAGUGCGGUAGGGGAGAAUGGAAUUCCUGGUGUAGCGGUGGAAUGCGCAGAUAUCAGGAGGAACACCGAUGGCGAAGGCAGUUCUCUGGGCCGUAACUGACGCUGAGGAGCGAAAGCGUGGGGAGCGAACAGGAUUAGAUACCCUGGUAGUCCACGCCGUAAACGUUGGGCGCUAGAUGUGGGGACCUUUCCACGGUUUCCGUGUCGCAGCUAACGCAUUAAGCGCCCCGCCUGGGGAGUACGGCCGCAAGGCUAAAACUCAAAGGAAUUGACGGGGGCCCGCACAAGCGGCGGAGCAUGCGGAUUAAUUCGAUGCAACGCGAAGAACCUUACCAAGGCUUGACAUAUACGAGAACGGGCCAGAAAUGGUCAACUC
This 631-nucleotide ribosomal RNA is filed under the name Leifsonia sp. So1Ps_546. Its description in RNAcentral is "bacterial SSU rRNA". It matches the Rfam family "Bacterial small subunit ribosomal RNA", at positions 382 to 1016 of the family's 1533-position model. The record is from RNAcentral. Lineage: Bacteria; Bacillati; Actinomycetota; Actinomycetes; Micrococcales; Microbacteriaceae.